AUGUUGGCAGUUGUCUGCAAGAUUUAUGAUGGUGUUAAAGCUCUGGAAACAAAUGAAAAUGAUGGUUCUGUAAGUAAAAGUUCUGGUCUUCAUGGGCUUGGAACUUCCAUAGGGAGGCAUUUGGAUGGCCGUUUUCAAGUCAUUUGUCUUGAAAAUUUAAGUUGCAGAUCGUAUGUUCAGAUCUGGUGCUGUUGAUCUCAUCUGCGUUGAUUCUGUCUCAGCUCUUACUCCACGAGCUGAGAUUGAAGGGGAAAUUGGAAUGCAGCAGAUGGGUUUGCAAGCAGGUCUCAUGAGCCAAGCUCUGCGUAAAAUGUCUGGAAAUGCGUUCAAAAUU
Molecule: non-coding RNA, 334 nt
Organism: Camellia sinensis
Lineage: Eukaryota; Viridiplantae; Streptophyta; Magnoliopsida; Ericales; Theaceae
Source: RefSeq, a predicted model, not a curated record